GCAGACACAUUCCAGCCAAUCAGCAGCAUAUCCUCCCUCCCAGACCCUCCCACCUCCUGGACAGCUCACUAAGAAUGCAGCUUCACAAUGAAUGUAAAAUGGAUGCUGUCCAGGAGAUGGGAGGGUCUGGGAGGGAGGGUCUGCUGCUGAUUGGCUGGAAUGUGUCUG
This 168-nucleotide microRNA precursor is filed under the name Pelobates cultripes (western spadefoot toad). Lineage: Eukaryota; Metazoa; Chordata; Amphibia; Anura; Pelobatidae. The record is from RNAcentral.